GACACGGCCCAGACUCCUACGGGAGGCAGCAGUGGGGAAUUUUGGGCAAUGGGGAAAACCCUGACCCAGCAACGCCGCGUGGAGGAAGAAGGUUUUCGGAUCGUAAACUCCUGUCCGGAGGGACGAAGCAAGUGACGGUACCUCUGGAGGAAGCCCCGGCUAACUCCGUGCCAGCAGCCGCGGUAAUACGGGGGGGGCAAGCGUUGUUCGGAAUUACUGGGCGUAAAGGGCGCGCAGGCGGUUUCGUCAGUCAUGGGUGAAAGCCCCGGGCUCAACCCGGGAAUGGCCUGUGAAACCACGGAACUGGAGUGCUGGAGAGGGAAGCGGAAUUCCCAGUGUAGCGGUGAAAUGCGUAGAUAUUGGGAGGAACAUCUGUGGCGAAGGCGGCUUCCUGGACAGACACUGACGCUGAGGCGCGAAAGCCAGGGGAGCGAACGGGAUUAGAUACCCCGGUAGUCCUGGCUGUAAACGAUGAAUACUUGGUGUGGGGGGUAGGAAAGUCCCUCUGUGCCGAAGAGAACUCGAUAAGUAUUCCGCCUGGGGAGUACGGCCGCAAGGCUGAAACUCAAAGGAAUUGACGGGGGCCCGCACAAGCGGUGGAGCAUGUGGUUUAAUUCGACGCAACGCGAAGAACCUUACCGGGGUUUGAACUCGGCCGGCGACCUCUAGAGAUAGGGGGUUCCUUUCGGGGACAGGUCGAGAGGUGCUGCAUGGCUGUCGUCAGCUCGCGUCGUGAGAUGUUGGGUUAAGUCCCGCAACGAGCGCAACCCUUGUUUGUAGUUGCCAUCAGGUCAAGCUGGGCACUCUACGGAGACUGUCGGCGAAAAGCCGGAGGAAGGUGGGGAUGACGUCAAGUCCUCAUGGCCUUUAUGUCCCGGGCUACACACGUGCUACAAUGGGCGGAACAGAGGGCAGCGAACCUGCGAAGGUAAGCGAAUCCCAGAAAUCCGCUCUCAGUUCGGAUUGCAGUCUGCAACUCGACUGCAUGAAGUUGGAAUCGCUAGUAAUCGCGGAUCAGAACGCCGCGGUGAAUACGUUCCCGGGCCUUGUACACACCGCCCGUCACAUCACGAAAGUGGGCUGUACUAGAAGCCGCCGGCCUAACCCUUCGGGGAGGGAGGCGUCGACGGUAUGGCUCAUGAUUGGGGUGAAGUCGUAACAAGGUAGCUGUAGGAACCUGUGGCUG
This 1186-nucleotide ribosomal RNA is filed under the name metagenome. RNAcentral describes it as "bacterial SSU rRNA". It matches the Rfam family "Bacterial small subunit ribosomal RNA", at positions 323 to 1520 of the family's 1533-position model. The record is from RNAcentral.